This 1217-nucleotide long non-coding RNA is filed under the name Elaeis guineensis (African oil palm). Its description in RNAcentral is "long non-coding RNA (EGUI_LNC061499)". Lineage: Eukaryota; Viridiplantae; Streptophyta; Magnoliopsida; Arecales; Arecaceae. The record is from RNAcentral.
UAAGGUCAAAUAAGAAAAAAAAGAAAGAUAAAAGGAGGAGGUGGCAUCAAGGGCCUGCCCCGAAAUAGCCAGUGCAUCCGAGCUGAAGCAAAAAACAAAGAAAGAAAGGAAGGGGGCGCUGCCUUAUUUCCCCCGCGGGUUAGAAAAGCCACCGAAGAACGAGGGACUGGGCACUUGCUACCUAGGGCCGACACCACCGCCUCCCCCGUGUCUGGCAUUCGACAACAUCGGCUCCACCUGAGCUCCGACUUCAUCAGAGCGGAUGCCUACGAAGUAGACCAACGCCUCCCGCAUGCUUCUCUGACGAUUUCAAGGCCAGAUCAGUGGUCCCGAUUCCUCCCAUGCACCCGUGCGCCUCCGGCAUCGAGCUCGGCCAGGUCGGUGGCCCCUAGCUCCUCCAGAUCCGAGUUCUCUCGUACCUCCAAUUGAUGAUUCCUAUCCUUUCGACCUCACUGAAUCUGGGCUUUCGAGGCCACGGCCAUAAGGUCUUCUUUGUGCAUGCCUCCGAUCUCAUCGAGGUCCAGACUUUUGGGAUGUCCCCUCACUCGUGCCUAUCCUCUAUCAGCAUCGACCUCAUCGAGAUCCGAACUUUCGAGCUCUCCCCGCUCACACCUUUGAGUCGACGGUCGUGUGGUGGUUGGAUCCCGAUCCCCAAGCAGGAAAAGGAAGGCUUGAAUCCUAUCUCCGAUUUACUGUGGACGAGUCUCUCUGCUCACACCUCGCCCCAUUGGCAUCAAGCUCAUCGAAUCAUCUGAGGAUCCGAGCUUCUCCGCUCAUGGCCUCGGAGCCUUUUUCUAUCGAAAUUACCUAUGGGCCUAACACUUCCAUCGAAGCGGAUGACAUCCUCCAAUGGUCCACCUUGCAGCCAAGCUCAGCAUCCCACGGCACCAAGGAUCUUGCUCCUACUUGUCUAGCCAAGGCGGAUCCGAUCAAGAUCCCAGACCCCGCGUGCAAGUCUGAGGCCUCCUGCACAUCGACACCGCGGCAACCUCUGCCGCCGCUAAUCUCACCGCCACCGCCUCUGCACUCGGAGGUGCAUGGGACGACGAGAGCUCCAGAUCAGAUGUAGAAGCGGGGCAAGUGAGGUUGGGCAUCAUUCAUAUAUUUCUUGGCUCUGAGAUCACAGGUGGUUACCAAACUUUUCCCCGACAGGCCUUCUUACCGCAACAUGGUUUAUGACAUCGAAGGUCGAACCCACUAAUUCCAGAGCUAGCAAC